GGAAGGAUCAUUAUUGAAUUAUGUUUCUAGAUGGGUUGUAGCUGGCUCCUAGGAGCAUGUGCACGCCUGUCUGGACUUCAUUUUCAUCCACCUGUGCACCUUUUGUAGUCUUUGUUGGGUAUGGAGGAAGUGGUCAGCCUUAUCAGCUCUUGCUGGAUAUGAGGACUUGCAGUGUGAAAGCAGUGCUGUCCGCUACUUGGCCAUGGAAUCUGUUUCCCGUCAGAGUCUAUGUUAUUCACUAUACCCUAUAAACUGUUAUUGAAUGUUUUUACAUGGCUUCUAUGCCUAUGAAAAUUGUAAUACAACUUUCAGCAACGGAUCUCUUGGCUCUCGCAUCGAUGAAGAACGCAGCGAAAAUGCGAUAAGUAAUGUGAAUUGCAGAAUUCAGUGAAUCAUCGAAUCUUUUGAACGCAUCUUGCGCUCUUGGUAUUCCGAGGAGCAUGCCUGUUGAGUGUCAUUAAAUUCUCAACUCUCCUAUACUUUGUUGUAAAGGAGGGCUUGGACUGUGGAGGCUUGCUGGCCGCUUGAUGUGGUCAGCUCCUCUGAAUGCAUUAGCAGAACUGUUUGCGAUCUGCCACAAGUGUGAUAAAUUAUCUACACUAGCGAGGGGAUUGCUCUCUGUGUUCAGCUUCUAAUCGUCUUCAGUGACAAUUUUUUGAAUGCUUGACCUCAAAUCAGGUAGGACUACCCGCUGAACUAAGCAUAUCAAUAAGCGGAGGAAAAGAAACUAACAAGGAUUCCCCUAGUAACUGCGAGUGAAGCGGGAAAAGCUCAAAUUUAAAAUCUGGCGGUCUUUGGUCGUCCGAGUUGUAAUCUAGAGAAGUAAUGCCCGUGCUGGACCGUGUAUAAGUCUCCUGGGAUGGGGGCGUCAUAGAGGGUGAGAAUCCCGUCUUUGACACGGACUACCAGUGCAUGUGGUAUGCUCUCAAAGAGUCGAGUUGUUUGGAAUGCAGCUCAAAAUGGGUGGUAAAUUCCAUCUAAAGCUAAAUAUUGGCGAGAGACCGAUAGCGAACAAGUACCGUGAGGGAAAGAUGAAAAGAACUUUGGAAAGAGAGUUAAACAGUACGUGAAAUUGCUGAAAGGGAAACGCUUGAAGUCAGUCGCGUUGGCCGGGGAUCAGCCUUGCUUUUGCAUGGUGUACUUUCUGGUUGACCGGUCAGCAUCAGUUUUGACCGCUGGAAAAGGGCCUGGGGAAUGUGGCAGCUUCGGCUGUGUUAUAGCCCCUGGUCACAUACGGCGGUUGGGAUUGAGGAACUCAGCACGCCGCAAGGCCGGGUUUCGACCACGUUCGUGCUUAGGAUGCUGGCAUAAUGGCUUUAAGCGACCCGUCUUGAAACACGGACCAAGGAGUCUAACAUGCCUUGCGAGUAUUUGGGUGAAAAACCCGAGUGCGCAAUGAAAGUGAAAGUUGAGAUCCCUGUCGUGGGAGCAUCGACGCCCGGACCAGAACUUUCGGGACGGAUCCGCGGUGGAGCAUGUAUGUUGGGACCCGAAAGAUUGGUGAACUAUGCGCUGAAUAGGGUGAAGCCAGAGGAAACUCUGGUGGAGGCUCGUAGCGAUUCUGACGUGCAAAUCGAUCGUCAAAUUUGGGUAUAGGGGCGAAAGACUAAUCGAACCAUCUAGUAAGCUGGUUCCUGC
This 1638-nucleotide unclassified non-coding RNA is filed under the name uncultured fungus. RNAcentral's name for it is "sequence contains 18S rRNA gene, ITS1, 5.8S rRNA gene, ITS2, 28S rRNA gene". The stretch from base 665 to 1638 matches the Rfam family "Eukaryotic large subunit ribosomal RNA", at positions 1 to 961 of the family's 3401-position model. The record is from RNAcentral. Lineage: Eukaryota; Fungi.